AUGCGCUAUGAUGAGCGAUACACACCGUAUGUAAGGGAGACAGGACUUCUCCCUUUCAUUCAUAUGGUCAGACGGUCGACGCCACCCAACAAUGCUCCAGCACUCACCGCGCUUAUUGAUCAUUGGCGGCCGGAGACACAUAGUUUCCAUCUACGGACCGGGGAGAUGGCAGUGACGCUCCAGGAUAUUGCUAUGAUCACCGGUCUUCCUAUCGAUGGGAAUCCUCUAUGUAUGAGCACCGAUUCCGAUGGGUGGCGCGCGCAGAUGCAUGCCCUUAUCGGUAUGGUUCCUCCGGAGCCUCCGGAACCAGCAGCAGAAAACAAGAAGGAAAGAGUCGCAGCCGGUGCUACUUUCACGUGGAUUACUGAGCACUUUGGUACUUGCCCACCGGAAGCUGAUGAGGACACGGUCAAGACAUAUGCUCGUGUCUACAUGUGGUAUGUGAUAUCCAGGACUAUGUUUGCCGAUGGCACAGGCAAGAAUGCUCCAUGGAUGUGGCUGAAGGCGUUGACCGUCUUCGAUAGCAAAUGGAGUUGGGGUUCGGCGACACUGGCUUACUUGUAUAGACAGGUAUGA
RNAcentral lists this ribosomal RNA (576 nucleotides) under Triticum aestivum (bread wheat). Its description in RNAcentral is "partial small subunit ribosomal RNA". Lineage: Eukaryota; Viridiplantae; Streptophyta; Magnoliopsida; Poales; Poaceae. The record is from RNAcentral.